CAGUAGCCACGGGAAUACGAAGGGGGCUAGCGUUGCUCGGAAUGACUGGGCGUAAAGGGCGCGUAGGCGGCGAUCAAAGUCAGGCGUGAAAUUCCUGGGCUCAACCUGGGGGCUGCGCUUGAUACUUGGUUGCUUGAGUGGGGAAGAGGGUCGUGGAAUUCCCAGUGUAGAGGUGAAAUUCGUAGAUAUUGGGAAGAACACCGGUGGCGAAGGCGGCGACCUGGUCCUUGACUGACGCUGAGGCGCGAAAGCGUGGGGAGCAAACAGGAUUAGAUACCCGAGUAGUCCCUGUCUCUUAUAC
RNAcentral lists this ribosomal RNA (301 nucleotides) under uncultured bacterium. Its description in RNAcentral is "partial 16S ribosomal RNA". It matches the Rfam family "Bacterial small subunit ribosomal RNA", at positions 509 to 807 of the family's 1533-position model. The record is from RNAcentral.